CCCCUCGGGCCGCCGCCGGCGCCCGGGGCGUCCGGUUCUGGCGGCGGUGGGGCGCGGUGGGGAGCCGCUUCCAGAAGGUUCGGCGACUGUUGGGCGGUGCCGAGCGCGGCAGCCGCGUGGAUCAGCCUCGCCCCGCGCCGCGCGUGUCCGCGGGGGGGGAGGGGCCGUCCCGGCAGCCGACGCUGGGCGGUUGCGGAUACAGCGCCCCGGGAGGUGGGCGAGCCCGGGCUCGGAGGCCCUGGGGCUGGAGUGCGGCAGGAAGGCCUGCGGGGGUCCGCCUCCGGGGCUUGCACUCUCGAAUCAGCCCCUGACGGGAAAUUGGAGGUCCCCCCACCCCCCCGUAAACGAGCAUUUAUGGCGGAGCUGCUGGGUAUUGUGCUGGGAAGGCACGUGGGUGCGCAGAACCCGGAGUCAGGAGCCGGCGAGCUGGGCUGCAGACGACCAGGGACCCGGGAUGGCCUACACCGCCGGCUGCAGGCAGGGAAUCUGCCUACGCGGUCCGCUGCAGACCGCCUCGAGCUUCGUGCAGGAUUUCCUGGAAGCCCUGAGCUUUUGCUUGGGGGUGUGCGUGCGGGCGGCGGUAGGGCGCCCUAAAGAUGUCUUCCCAGACAGUCAAUGCAAUGGAACAAGUCUUUACUGGGGCCCUGCCCUUUUUGUAUAGGUGAGAGCAUUCCCAUGAAGUUGGAUACCUUUUGUUCUUCGAAAACCUCAAAAAAUCUGAUUUGGAGACAAAUCCGGGACACAAGAAACCUGACUGUGACCACCUGCUGAACCAUAUUCCUAGACUAGGGAAUGGGCUGAAUGGUUCAGGAUUAAAUAGACUGGUCCCUCCCAGAGGGAGACAAAAAAAGA
Neofelis nebulosa (Clouded leopard) is the source of this 852-nucleotide long non-coding RNA. RefSeq lists it as uncharacterized. The record is from RefSeq and is a predicted model, not a curated record. NCBI's taxonomy places the organism in Eukaryota, Metazoa, Chordata, Mammalia, Carnivora, Felidae. The transcript has 2 exons.